This 123-nucleotide small nucleolar RNA is filed under the name Echinops telfairi (small Madagascar hedgehog). Its description in RNAcentral is "Small nucleolar RNA SNORA61 (ENSETEG00000025150.1)". The record is from RNAcentral. Lineage: Eukaryota; Metazoa; Chordata; Mammalia; Afrosoricida; Tenrecidae.
ACUCUCCAGAUUCCUUACCUCUCGGGUCUAAAUAAUGAUCUGAGUGGCAGAAAAGAGAAGGAAAAGUAAAACGGAGGGGAAAUUCGAGUCUCUAGUGACAAACGAAGUUCGUUUCCAACAUAC